AAUCAACGCUGGCGGCGUGCCUCAGACAUGCAAGUCGAACGAUUAAAGCUCUCUUCGGAGAGUGUAUAGAGUGGCGCACGGGUGAGUAACACGUAAGUAAUCUACCUUCGAGUGGGGAAUAACGUCCGGAAACGGACGCUAAUACCGCAUAAUGCAGCGGCAUCGCAAGAUGACAGUUGUUAAAGAUUUAUCGCUUGAAGAGGAGCUUGCGGCAGAUAGCUAGUUGGUAAGGUAAUGGCUUACCAAGGCUACGAUCUGUAACCGGUCUAAGAGGACGGUCGGUCACACUGACACUGAAUAACGGGUCAGACUCCUACGGGAGGCAGCAGUCGGGAA
Molecule: ribosomal RNA, 336 nt
Filed under: uncultured bacterium
Lineage: Bacteria
Description: bacterial SSU rRNA
Rfam family: Bacterial small subunit ribosomal RNA
Source: RNAcentral